Molecule: long non-coding RNA, 614 nt
Filed under: Brassica napus (rape)
Lineage: Eukaryota; Viridiplantae; Streptophyta; Magnoliopsida; Brassicales; Brassicaceae
Description: long non-coding RNA (BNAP_LNC019600)
Source: RNAcentral
UGUUACGCACGCCAACCUUACAACUGAUACAAAGAAAGACCAUCACAAAGGGCAGUAACAAAAGCACACACGAAUAGUUUUCAUAAAACAUAAGGAAUCCAACUUUGACAAGAUAAGUAACGAUCUCUUGAAAAAAAGAAUAUCUAAGCAACACAUGAUAGUUUAAAACAGAUAAAAACAACAACAAAAGAAACAACAAAUGCAUCACAUGACCAUCAAUCUUGUGAUCUAAUUUGUGAUCCACCUUGUGAUCCUCCCUAAUAGAACACAUAAAAAAUUGAGAUUUUCUAGAAUCGAUAUGAUAUAAAAUCAGACAGACAAUAAAAGUGCACCUGAUCAUUCUUUGGCCGACCCCUUGGACGUUUUGGUUCAGGUUGAACACUUGGUUUUGAGCAUCUCGGCUUGGUAUGUCCUUUCUUCUCUACAAUUAGAGCAUGUCAUGACACGCUUCUCACGGCUUAACUUGGUUUUACUAGAGGAAGAGGAUGAUUCAUUUGCGCUUUUCCGUCUGGAAUAAGUGCUUGGUCUUCCUCUAUUACUUAACCUAUUUGGUGGAGGCAAGACUGGUAACAUGUUCAGCAUAGGCCAUAAGUUUAUCCCUUCUACAUGCCUAA